This 1626-nucleotide ribosomal RNA is filed under the name Klebsiella pneumoniae. RNAcentral describes it as "partial 23S ribosomal RNA". It matches the Rfam family "Bacterial large subunit ribosomal RNA", at positions 1260 to 2865 of the family's 2925-position model. The record is from RNAcentral. Lineage: Bacteria; Pseudomonadati; Pseudomonadota; Gammaproteobacteria; Enterobacterales; Enterobacteriaceae.
CCUGUGAGGGUUGCUGGAGGUAUCAGAAGUGCGAAUGCUGACAUAAGUAACGAUAAAGCGGGUGAAAAGCCCGCUCGCCGGAAGACCAAGGGUUCCUGUCCAACGUUAAUCGGGGCAGGGUGAGUCGACCCCUAAGGCGAGGCCGAAAGGCGUAGUCGAUGGGAAACAGGUUAAUAUUCCUGUACUUGGUGUUACUGCGAAGGGGGGACGGAGAAGGCUAUGUUAGCCGGGCGACGGUUGUCCCGGUUUAAGCAUGUAGGCUGGUUGUCCAGGCAAAUCCGGAUAAUCAAGGCUGAGGUGUGAUGACGAGGCACUACGGUGCUGAAGUAACAAAUGCCCUGCUUCCAGGAAAAGCCUCUAAGCAUCAGGUAACAUUAAAUCGUACCCCAAACCGACACAGGUGGUCAGGUAGAGAAUACCAAGGCGCUUGAGAGAACUCGGGUGAAGGAACUAGGCAAAAUGGUGCCGUAACUUCGGGAGAAGGCACGCUGGUGUGUAGGUGAAGUCCCUGCGGAUGGAGCUGAGACCAGUCGAAGAUACCAGCUGGCUGCAACUGUUUAUUAAAAACACAGCACUGUGCAAACACGAAAGUGGACGUAUACGGUGUGACGCCUGCCCGGUGCCGGAAGGUUAAUUGAUGGGGUUAUCCGUAAGGAGAAGCUCUUGAUCGAAGCCCCGGUAAACGGCGGCCGUAACUAUAACGGUCCUAAGGUAGCGAAAUUCCUUGUCGGGUAAGUUCCGACCUGCACGAAUGGCGUAAUGAUGGCCAGGCUGUCUCCACCCGAGACUCAGUGAAAUUGAACUCGCUGUGAAGAUGCAGUGUACCCGCGGCAAGACGGAAAGACCCCGUGAACCUUUACUAUAGCUUGACACUGAACAUUGAGCCUUGAUGUGUAGGAUAGGUGGGAGGCUUUGAAGCGUGGACGCCAGUCUGCGUGGAGCCAACCUUGAAAUACCACCCUUUAAUGUUUGAUGUUCUAACGUUGGCCCCUUACCGGGGUUGCGGACAGUGUCUGGUGGGUAGUUUGACUGGGGCGGUCUCCUCCCAAAGCGUAACGGAGGAGCACGAAGGUUAGCUAAUCCUGGUCGGACAUCAGGAGGUUAGUGCAAUGGCAUAAGCUAGCUUGACUGCGAGCGUGACGGCGCGAGCAGGUGCGAAAGCAGGUCAUAGUGAUCCGGUGGUUCUGAAUGGAAGGGCCAUCGCUCAACGGAUAAAAGGUACUCCGGGGAUAACAGGCUGAUACCGCCCAAGAGUUCAUAUCGACGGCGGUGUUUGGCACCUCGAUGUCGGCUCAUCACAUCCUGGGGCUGAAGUAGGUCCCAAGGGUAUGGCUGUUCGCCAUUUAAAGUGGUACGCGAGCUGGGUUUAGAACGUCGUGAGACAGUUCGGUCCCUAUCUGCCGUGGGCGCUGGAGAAUUGAGGGGGGCUGCUCCUAGUACGAGAGGACCGGAGUGGACGCAUCACUGGUGUUCGGGUUGUCAUGCCAAUGGCACUGCCCGGUAGCUAAAUGCGGAAGAGAUAAGUGCUGAAAGCAUCUAAGCACGAAACUUGCCCCGAGAUGAGUUCUCCCUGAGACUUUAAGUCUCCUGAAGGAACGUUAAAGACGAUGACGUUGAUAGGCCGGG